This 402-nucleotide ribosomal RNA is filed under the name Nitzschia palea. RNAcentral describes it as "partial large subunit ribosomal RNA". It matches the Rfam family "Bacterial large subunit ribosomal RNA", at positions 2084 to 2485 of the family's 2925-position model. The record is from RNAcentral. Lineage: Eukaryota; Bacillariophyta; Bacillariophyceae; Bacillariales; Bacillariaceae.
AAAGACCCUAUGAAGCUUUACUGUAACUUGAAAUUGAAAUUGGACUUUACUUGCGCAGUAUAGGUGGGAGGCGUUGAGUUUAUUCUUGCGGGAAUUUAGGAGCCAUCAGUGAGAUACCACUCUGGUAAUGUUAGAUUUCUAACUUUGUAUCAUAAUCUGGUCAAAGGACAGUUUCAGGCGGGCAGUUUGACUGGGGCGGUCGCCUCCUAAAUGGUAACGGAGGCGUACAAAGGUUUCCUCUGAACGUGUAGAAAUCGUAUCUAGAGUAUAAAGGCAUAAGGAAGCUUGACUGUGAGACUUACAAGUCGAGCAGGGACGAAAGUCGGUCUUAGUGAUCUGACGGUGCUGAGUGGAAAGGCCGUCACUCAACGGAUAAAAGUUACUCUAGGGAUAACAGGCUGA